Molecule: long non-coding RNA, 850 nt
Organism: Gossypium arboreum
Lineage: Eukaryota; Viridiplantae; Streptophyta; Magnoliopsida; Malvales; Malvaceae
Exons: 2
Source: RefSeq, a predicted model, not a curated record
AAGACAAAAAGCAAAAUAAGUAAUAACUAGUUAAAAAAGGAUGGCGAGGAUAUAAUGAGUAGAAAAAGGGCAGGAGAACAAGUGACAAUAAGGACCAAACCUCAGCCAUCAAGACUUAAAUUAGGUGAAAAGCAAAGUGCAUCUCACCUGGGAGCAGGAAAGAGAUCCGAUGAGAGGAGCCAUUCUCAUCAAAAUUGAACUAUAUUGAUAAACAACAAAAAGUGGAAAUGUCGCCAAUGGCACUUGAAAAGCUUGAUCAUAAUAACCAUGGUUUGGAUUCAGGUUCUGAAGGAAGUGAUAAGCACAGAACUAAGCAUAAGGAGAAGAGAAAGCAUAAAAGGCGUGAAGUUACGUCAGAUGACGAUUCUAGUUAUGAUUCUGAAAUUGAGGAUAGGAAAGAAGCUAAGAUGAGGAAGGAAGAAAAAAGACUAAGAAAGGAGGAGAAGCGUAGAUGUUGUGAGGAGUGAAGUCGCAAAAGAGAAGAGUGGCGUGCGGAGAAGCUGAAAAUGAAAGGGCAAGAUGAUGAUGGUGAGGUGGAAAGUCUCAUCCAAGUUUUGAUGAAGAGGCAGAGACUAAGCAGAAGAAGCUUGAAAUUGAGCUAAGGAAAAGGGCACUUGAAUCACUCAAAGCAAAGAAGGGCAUCACUGGCUGAAGCUAUUGUGUUUAGGACACUAAAAUGUUAUUUCAUCUUUGUUAUUGUUGAGCAGAUAUUUGUAUUUUUAAAGUUUGAUUGGACUUAUUUUUCAAGUGCAGUGUCUUUAUAUUUAUUAUGGCUUAAUGUAGUUUGUGUUUACCGCUGGCAACUUGAUUGGAUAAAUGAGGAUUUCUUGAGCUAUUCUCUUGAGUACAA